Molecule: unclassified non-coding RNA, 202 nt
Filed under: Hevea brasiliensis (rubber tree)
Lineage: Eukaryota; Viridiplantae; Streptophyta; Magnoliopsida; Malpighiales; Euphorbiaceae
Source: RNAcentral
CUCUCUCUCUCUCUCUCUCUCUUUCUCUGGAGGCACUACCUUCGAGCUUUGAGAGCUCGAGGUCCAAUUCCAGCAACUACACUUAGCGAGAUUACGGCAAUUUCUGUGUUCAAAGUCCCUUUUUCCUUUCCCAAGUCCUCAAUCGUUGAAGUUUUCGAGCAGGAGAAUGCUUAUCUUUCCCCGCCGUUGAUUAUUCUCCGCG